Molecule: long non-coding RNA, 699 nt
Filed under: Sus scrofa (pig)
Lineage: Eukaryota; Metazoa; Chordata; Mammalia; Artiodactyla; Suidae
Description: lncRNA (ENSSSCG00030015202.1)
Source: RNAcentral
AUGCUGCUGGAGAGGAACCAUACUGAGCCCCGGGGCCCUCUGAUCCGUGGGCAAAUCUGUCUGCACACUCACGCCAAGACCCUGCUUCUGCUCUUGUCCAGGAAGCUGGGAACCUUCUCUUUGGAAAACCGAUGUUGGGAGCUCUCCCUCUCACCCCCCAGCUUCUCCCUCGGGGCCUCGGCAGCCCAGCAGUUGCUUCUCCUCCUCCCCUGGCUGAGAAGCUGGGAGAGGCUGACCUUGACCGUGAUGCUGAGGUGGAAGGAGACCCGGGGCAGGGCUCUGCGGGAGACGCCAGCCUUUGCUCUGCCCACUAACAGACUUAGAAGGCCCGCAACUGGGAGAAAGAGCGGCCACCAGAGGAAAAGGCAACAAGGGGAGCCCUGGAGGAGACUUGGAGACUUCUUUAGAGACCGGAAGGAAAUUCAAGCAGCACAAGCAGUCCAGUGACCUUUCCUUGAGAGAAUCAGCCUCCACCCAAUCCCAGCGCCUCUGCCCCUGGGAACAGAGAGACAAGCACCUCUCUGCUCCGGUGGUUCGUGACCUUCUCCAGAGGACGUGGGCCCUGGCGCUUCCUGUCCACUGGAAGAAGAGCUCAGCAUCUGCUGAGUCCAAAAUCAUGGCCUUUCAAAGACACUCCCUGAAACAGCAGUUGAACAAGAAAAGGACUCGCACAGCCACCAUCUGUCUGUUGACCUGAGG